This 306-nucleotide ribosomal RNA is filed under the name uncultured Planctomycetota bacterium. RNAcentral describes it as "bacterial SSU rRNA". It matches the Rfam family "Bacterial small subunit ribosomal RNA", at positions 29 to 351 of the family's 1533-position model. Lineage: Bacteria; Pseudomonadati; Planctomycetota. The record is from RNAcentral.
AAUGAACGUUGGCGGCGUGGAUUAGGCAUGCAAGUCGCGCGACAAGGAACCUUCGGGUUCUGGAGGAGCGGCAAACGGGGUAGUAAGGCAUCGGAACGUACCCUCUUGUUGGGAAUAGCCGCGGGAAACUGCGAGUAAUGCCCAAUGAUCCCUACGGGGCAAAGGUCCGCCGCAGGAGGAGCGGCCGAUGUGAUACCAGCUAGUUGGUGAGGUAAUGGCUCACCAAGGCUUAGACGUCUAGGGGGUGUGAGAGCAUGGCCCCCACCACUGGGACUGAGAUACUGCCCAGACACCUACGGGAGGCAG